Molecule: ribosomal RNA, 430 nt
Filed under: Tegillarca nodifera
Lineage: Eukaryota; Metazoa; Mollusca; Bivalvia; Arcoida; Arcidae
Description: partial 12S ribosomal RNA
Source: RNAcentral
CGUUACUCCCGGUGUCAAGUACAGCGGCUAUUAUUAGAGCUAUGUAUGCGCUUGCCGGGCAACUACGUCUUAACAGGUAAAAGUCGAAGUACUUGGCGGUCUAGCGAUGAACCAGCCCGUGAGACUUGACGGUUAAUCCGAUGAUCCGCGUAAAUUCUACUCUUUCUUGAAUUCUCAGUUGGUGUAUGGCCGUCUAGUGCUAUCUGAAAGGAAGUUGCGCCAAGCCAUUGUUUGUACGAGUUUAUAAUUUUAGUAUAAGCGGAUGGAGUAAUUCAGGUCGUCAUGCCGCUCACGAAGGAGGCUUAGUUGAGUCACAUUGAUGAGAUCAAGCGGAACCAAGUAGGAAGUGGCUUGGGGAAGAAGUAAUGGGUAGUAAGAAGAGAAUAAUUCGCUUUUCUGAAUCGUGAACUCCUAGGUGUACAAAUCGCCC